GUUGCAGUUAAAAAGCUCGUAGUUGGAUUUCGGAACCGGCCGAUUGGUCCGUCCUCUGGAUCGUGUACUGAUCGGUCUGUUCUUCUUCGCGAAGACCGCGUGUGCUCUUAACUGAGUGGGCGUGGGAUUCGCGACGUUUACUUUGAAAAAAUUAGAGUGUUCAAAGCAGGCAGUCGCUUGAAUAUCUCAGCAUGGAAUAAUAGAAUAGGACUUUGGUCUUAUUUUGUUGGUUUCCGAGACCGAAGUAAUGAUUAAUAGGGACAGUUGGGGGCAUUCGUAUUUCAUUGUCAGAGAUGAAAUUCUUGGAUUUAUGAAAGACGAACUUCUGCGAAAGCAUUUGCCAAGGAUGUUUUCAUUAAUCAAGAACGAAAGUUGGAGGCUCGAAGACGAUCAGAUACCGUCCUAGUUCCAACCAUAAACGAUGCCGUCUGCGGAUCGGAGGUCGCUCAUGUAAGGCUCCUUCGGCACGCUAUGAGUAAAUCAAAGACUUCGGGUUCCGGGGGGAGUAUGUUCGCAAGAAUGAAACUUAAAGGAAUUGACGGAAGGGCACCACCAGGAGUGGAACCUGCGGUUUAAUUUGACUC
RNAcentral lists this ribosomal RNA (584 nucleotides) under uncultured marine eukaryote. RNAcentral describes it as "SSU rRNA". It matches the Rfam family "Eukaryotic small subunit ribosomal RNA", at positions 612 to 1201 of the family's 1831-position model. The record is from RNAcentral.